This 240-nucleotide unclassified non-coding RNA is filed under the name soil metagenome. RNAcentral's name for it is "partial contains 5.8S ribosomal RNA, internal transcribed spacer 2, and large subunit ribosomal RNA". The record is from RNAcentral.
AACCUUAUGGACCUGCGGGCGUAUACCUGCGGAGGGAUCAUUACCGAGUUUACAACUCCCAAACCCCCUGUGAACCUAUACCACGACGUUGCUUCGGCGGGUUAGCUCUGCUUUAACGCCCCGGACGCCGCGCCCCCCCAGGGGGUCGGCACCGGAACCAGGCGCCCGCCGGGGGACCCAAACUCUCCUGUAUGCCGCAACGCAUGUCUGAGUGGAUUUUUAUAUCAAAUGAAUCAAAAC